UAGGGAAUCUUCGGCAAUGGACGGAAGUCUGACCGAGCAACGCCGCGUGAGUGAAGAAGGUUUUCGGAUCGUAAAGCUCUGUUGUAAGAGAAGAACGAGUGUGAGAGUGGAAAGUUCACACUGUGACGGUAUCCUACCAGAAAGGGACGGCUAACUACGUGCCAGCAGCCGCGGUAAUACGUAGGUCCCGAGCGUUGUCCGGAUUUAUUGGGCGUAAAGCGAGCGCAGGCGGUUAGAUAAGUCUGAAGUUAAAGGCUGUGGCUUAACCAUAGUACGCUUUGGAAACUGUUUAACUUGAGUGCAAGAGGGGAGAGUGGAAUUCCAUGUGUAGCGGUGAAAUGCGUAGAUAUAUGGAGGAACACCGGUGGCGAAAGCGGCUCUCUGGCUUGUAACUGACGCUGAGGCUCGAAAGCGUGGGGAGCAAACAGGAUUAGAUACCCUGGCAGUCCACGCCGUAAACGAUGAGUGCUAGGUGUUAGACCCUUUCCGGGGUUUAGUGCCGCAGCUAACGCAUUAAGCACUCCGCCUGGGGGGUACGACCGCAAGGUUG
Molecule: ribosomal RNA, 550 nt
Filed under: uncultured bacterium
Lineage: Bacteria
Description: bacterial SSU rRNA
Rfam family: Bacterial small subunit ribosomal RNA
Source: RNAcentral